GUCGAGCGAGCGGAACUAACAGAUUUACUUCGGUAAUGACGUUAGGAAAGCGAGCGGCGGAUGGGUGAGUAACACGUGGGGAACCUGCCCCAUAGUCUGGGAUACCACUUGGAAACAGGUGCUAAUACCGGAUAAGAAAGCAGAUCGCAUGAUCAGCUUUUAAAAGGCGGCGUAAGCUGUCGCUAUGGGAUGGCCCCGCGGUGCAUUAGCUAGUUGGUAAGGUAAAGGCUUACCAAGGCGAUGAUGCAUAGCCGAGUUGAGAGACUGAUCGGCCACAUUGGGACUGAGACACGGCCCAAACUCCUACGGGAGGCAGCAGUAGGGAAUCUUCCACAAUGGACGCAAGUCUGAUGGAGCAACGCCGCGUGAGUGAAGAAGGUUUUCGGAUCGUAAAGCUCUGUUGUUGGUGAAGAAGGAUAGAGGUAGUAACUGGCCUUUAUUUGACGGUAAUCAACCAGAAAGUCACGGCUAACUACGUGCCAGCAGCCGCGGUAAUACGUAGGUGGCAAGCGUUGUCCGGAUUUAUUGGGCGUAAAGCGAGCGCAGGCGGAAGAAUAAGUCUGAUGUGAAAGCCCUCGGCUUAACCGAGGAACUGCAUCGGAAACUGUUUUUCUUGAGUGCAGAAGAGGAGAGUGGAACUCCAUGUGUAGCGGUGGAAUGCGUAGAUAUAUGGAAGAACACCAGUGGCG
Molecule: ribosomal RNA, 689 nt
Filed under: Lactobacillus crispatus
Lineage: Bacteria; Bacillati; Bacillota; Bacilli; Lactobacillales; Lactobacillaceae
Description: bacterial SSU rRNA
Rfam family: Bacterial small subunit ribosomal RNA
Source: RNAcentral